CCUCUGGGCAGAGGGAUCCUCCUUCCAUCAUCACUGAUAUUUAACUGAGAUAUUAAAGCAAGUGUAGCCUUGGCAGAGAUCCUUACCACCAUUCUAACUGGAGCCUCCUCUUCCCUAGGGACAGACUAAGAAAAAAUGGGGUUGGAUGGAGUGAGUGGUACAAGCAGUAACGUGCUGGCUACAUGAGUAGAGACAAACACUUCACAGGCAGUGUAACAUACCAGGCACACGUGAGCAGUCUUGAAGAGGAACAGUCACCAUUUCCCAGGAUGUUUUAACCUCCAUCAUGGCAGUUACUACUAUUAUCCUGCUCUACAGAGAUGCUUGCUGCUAGAGCCUGAAGGAGUCCUAAGCGAGAUGAGCAUUGUGAUCAUUAGUUUACAGGAACACGGGAAUGAAGGGCUGUUAACAAGGGUAAGAGGUGAACUGAAAGGCAGGGGAAGGAUUAGAAAGGUGAUCUCCUAUAUCCCCGCUUCAAGCCAACAGCCAGGCCCUUUGAAGCAAGGUGUUGUCUGCUUUGUGCAUUAAUGCCUAAAGUCCUCUUUACUGAUUGCCCCUCUUAUGUCAACUAUUCCCAUGAGAAGACCUAACAGAAGCCAACAUGAAACAUCUAUUGUUGGUAUUUGCACCGAAGCUUACUUUUUAGGCCACUUGCUACAAUUACGUGCUGAUUACAACAAUUAAAACUCAGUCUGAUCAUCUUUGGCCAGCAGAAGGCAGUAAAAUCCCAACAUGGAAAAGAAACACCUUUCUUCACAAACCCAAACGUCUGCCGUUGAGCCUCAAGUACCAGGGGAAUGCGGGGAGAGCAUCCUUCUGUAGGAUCUUAGGAAAUGCCAAUUCCAGAUGCUGAAGAAAUUCAACUCCCAUUCUUCCCAAACCCUGUGGCUUUGGUCUGGUUUUUGGUCUGUUUGGCUUUCUUUUUUUUUUUAAUCCCAGGCUCCUGAUAUAGCCAAUGAUGAUUUUAGCAGCUUAAAAUAAAACAGAUUAAUGAAGAACCUACUUCAUAAAGAGAGUAACAACAACAACAAAAGAAAAAAAGCCCCAAACAAAACCCACCACAAAAAAAACAGUGAAACCAAAUCUCAGCACAUCUUGCCUAGUAAGAGGAGGAAUGGAUGAUGUUUUAGAAGAGAGAUACAAAGCUGAACAGGAAACCACUGUUAGCAUCUGAACGAACACAGAGGUGUUUAAGUUGGGGAUUUCACUGCCA
Pogoniulus pusillus (Red-fronted tinkerbird) is the source of this 1213-nucleotide long non-coding RNA. RefSeq lists it as uncharacterized. Lineage: Eukaryota; Metazoa; Chordata; Aves; Piciformes; Lybiidae. The record is from RefSeq and is a predicted model, not a curated record. The transcript has 3 exons.